Molecule: ribosomal RNA, 497 nt
Filed under: uncultured bacterium
Lineage: Bacteria
Description: partial 16S ribosomal RNA
Rfam family: Bacterial small subunit ribosomal RNA
Source: RNAcentral
GAUGAACGCUGGCGGCGUGCCUAAUACAUGCAAGUCGAGCGAACGGACGAGAAGCUUGCUUCUCUGAUGUUAGCGGCGGACGGGUGAGUAACACGUGGAUAACCUACCUAUAAGACUGGGAUAACUUCGGGAAACCGGAGCUAAUACCGGAUAAUAUUUUGAACCGCAUGGUUCAAAAGUGAAAGACGGUCUUGCUGUCACUUAUAGAUGGAUCCGCGCUGCAUUAGCUAGUUGGUAAGGUAACGGCUUACCAAGGCAACGAUGCAUAGCCGACCUGAGAGGGUGAUCAGCCACACUGGAACUGAGACACGGUCCAGACUCCUACGGGAGGCAGCAGUAGGGAAUCUUCCGCAAUGGGCGAAAGCCUGACGGAGCAACGCCGCGUGAGUGAUGAAGGUCUUCGGAUCGUAAAACGCUGUUAUUAGGGAAGAACAUAUGUGUAAGUAACUGUGCACAUCUUGACGGUACCUAAUCAGAAAGCCACGGCUAACUACGUG